UUUGUACCGACUGUAUCUCGUUCCUUUCGCGGCCGUGACAAUUUUAUUUAAAGAUUAUCCUCGAAAAGGCGUCUUCCGGCAAGGCAAAAAAUGCACAAAUACGGCGUUAUUGCAAAAACUCUAAUUUGGAAUCAAUCAACAGGGUGAAAUCACCUCUCCGGCAGGACGUCUGACGAAUGCUAAGCAUAUCCGGAGUACGAGUCACCAGGAUGAGUGGCCAGGGCGGCAUCCAAUAAAGGUCAAAAGCAGCACAAAUGCAGUUAAAAUGGAUCCAAUGGCAAACUUCUCCCACAAACGAUUCACCCAGUGGGGACUCCAAUUGGAUGGAACUGUACGGUGCCUUUCGGUGCCCAUCAGCAACAGUGAGAUCCUUGGCCAACACAAUCUUUCGCUUCAUCAAAGGUAACUUCGUGAUUCGACACCAGAUUGGCUGCACGGGUGCAGCGCAAAACGAGGCGCAAAUAAAUCCUACAUCUAAUAGAUCCCGCAGACGAAAUUCACAGCAGCAACGCCAACCAGACAGGACCGCCGGCUACCAUUCGAUGACUAUCGUCAACGGAAAGAUGAUCCGCACCUUUCUCAACGCAUCUCCUGGGCGCAGUACCCGCCCGUGAAACAUUUAGCUUCGGAUUCGGAACUUAUUCCGUCCCCCUUCCAGAGAGAUCCUAUUGGAAGGAUAAGACGGUCCUGUUUUCCUAAAAGGAGCGGUUGGACCAUAGCCGUUUAGAACGGCGGCGUCCAAGCUCCUCUCGGCGGCGCGGCAUCACACGAUGCCAAAUCCCGGUGGUGCCUUCGGGUAUUGCCGCGCCGAUCUCCCGAGGGGGCCCUUCAUUGGUUUAUACCAGUUAGGGCAUUGGGCGUCGGCAGCCGCAACA
This is a long non-coding RNA of Armigeres subalbatus, 875 nucleotides long. RefSeq lists it as uncharacterized. The transcript has 3 exons. The record is from RefSeq and is a predicted model, not a curated record. Lineage: Eukaryota; Metazoa; Arthropoda; Insecta; Diptera; Culicidae.